This 456-nucleotide ribosomal RNA is filed under the name Bacillus sp. R-25370. RNAcentral's name for it is "bacterial SSU rRNA". It matches the Rfam family "Bacterial small subunit ribosomal RNA", at positions 33 to 480 of the family's 1533-position model. The record is from RNAcentral. Lineage: Bacteria; Bacillati; Bacillota; Bacilli; Caryophanales; Bacillaceae.
ACGCUGGCGGCGUGCCUAAUACAUGCAAGUCGAGCGAAUGGAUUAAGAGCUUGCUCUUAUGAAGUUAGCGGCGGACGGGUGAGUAACACGUGGGUAACCUACCCAUAAGACUGGGAUAACUCCGGGAAACCGGGGCUAAUACCGGAUAAUAUUUUGAACUGCAUAGUUCGAAAUUGAAAGGCGGCUUCGGCUGUCACUUAUGGAUGGACCCGCGUCGCAUUAGCUAGUUGGUGAGGUAACGGCUCACCAAGGCGACGAUGCGUAGCCGACCUGAGAGGGUGAUCGGCCACACUGGGACUGAGACACGGCCCAGACUCCUACGGGAGGCAGCAGUAGGGAAUCUUCCGCAAUGGACGAAAGUCUGACGGAGCAACGCCGCGUGAGUGAUGAAGGCUUUCGGGUCGUAAAACUCUGUUGUUAGGGAAGAACAAGUGCUAGUUGAAUAAGCUGGCACCU